Non-coding RNA from Brassica napus (rape), 107 nucleotides. Lineage: Eukaryota; Viridiplantae; Streptophyta; Magnoliopsida; Brassicales; Brassicaceae. The record is from Rfam.
AAACCAUGGUGUGGGCAUUGAGCUUGGUAGCCCUUGAAUCUCUCCCAGGCUUCACUGAAUCCUUCCAAGUUUUUCUGUUGAAAGUUGAAAAUCUCAUUUCUCAGCUU